CCCCACCCCUUUCCACCUAAAACAGAAAAAUCAAAAUGAAGAAAAGGAACAAAAGAGGGAGAAGAAAGAAAAGGAAAGGAAGAAGAGGGAGGUGACGGUAGGGAAGAGGGCGGCUGCCGCUGUCGCGUUGUGGCUGUAGCACUUGUUGCGAUGGCCUUGUCGUUCGUCAUCUCUCUUUCUCUCUGCUGGGGCUUGUCACGCCACCGUCGCUGGUGUUUCCCAUCAUUGCCGACGCCGGGGUUCAGCCGCUCUGUCGCUGCUAGGCCAACCAUUUAAUGCUCCCAUCAUCUUCUCUAUGCAUCCGCGGGCUUUCUCUUUGCCAUCGCGGGACCUGGGCUCUGGUUCCUCUCCCGUCAUGCUAUGUUCUGCUGUGCCGUCAUCGUUAGAGUUUCAACUGCUCCGUUGUCGCUGGGCAAGGGUUUCGUUGCUCCCCCAUUAUUACUGUACACCUGCUCUGUCUCUACUGUCGCUGGCAAGGGUUUCGUUCUUUCUUUUUUUAUGUUUUUUUAAUUUUUGAAGAACAUAAACAUCAUUUUUUUUCUUUCUAAUAUUUUUUUAAUUUCUGUUGUUGCUAAUUUUGGAUAUGAAAUUAAUGAUUGUUGAAUAAUUGUUUAAUUUGAAAUUUCUGUUAAAGGAUAAUUUUAUAACGUUUUGUAACAUUGAGGAUGAUUUUAAUAAGAAAAAAAGGUCGGUGACGAUUUUGAUUUUGACACAAGACGUUAAGAACGAAAAAAGUACUUAAUCCUUAGAUAUAUCAUAUAAGAAACCAUGAUUUAGUCUACAUUAUCCAUAUGUGUUGUUUAUUUUUUAUUUUUUAAUAUAUUUAUUGUUGUUUGUGAUAGUUUGUUCGAAUAGCACUGGUCGUAUUGACAAGAAUCAUAAAGUGAUAUGAAUUGAAAAUAAUUGUGAGUAAUUAUAUAUCCUAUAAGAUAUGUGAUAUUAAUUGGUGUUUAAUUUCUUCGACAUUAUUCAUGUUAAGCCAACUAUCAAGUUCUACGAAAAUGAGAAAAAAGAGGGAAUUUAUUUGUGUAUAAAAUAUGAGGUCUUUCAAAAUUUGUAUGAUAGGUCUAUCGUAAGGGAGUAUUUGCCUAAGACCUUCUAUACGAGAUAGGUCAACUUUUGGCAGCACGGUGAUUAAUGGCAAUUCAAAGGAUUUAGACAUCAAAAGAAGGUUGUAUGUGAUCCAAAAGAUGAAAUUUUUAAGUCAUUAAUGACUUAUAUUUAAAUGUGUGUUUUAUUUCAAAUGUUUCAAUAUUCUAACAAAUAUAUUUGCAUUUGACAUUUUACUUUCAAAAAUAGCAACAAAAUUAUGCCUGGAAAAAACGUAUUCAAGGAGCUCGCAUAGUAAAAAUGGUAGCAAGAAAUCCUAUGAUCCUAUUCUCAAAUGUAGAGGUCAAUGAUCAUCAAGACGGUUCGACUACUCAACCUAUGCAACUUGAAAGAGGGGUCUUUUUAAACUAUGAGAGUUUUCUAAACAAUACCUUUGAUAUUAUUUGAAUUUAUAUUUUUGACAUUUAUUGAUUGAUAUUUACGUGGAGAUUAUAUCAGAUAAACAUACAAAUGAGAUACAUGUUGGCCAAAAUAUUUCCAAUUUAGACUGUAUCCAACCAAAUGAAAGACCAUUUUUGGUAGUGCGUGAUGUCAGAUCAUCUACAACAGUGAAACUAUGGGAGCUAAUUUAUCACAAGUUGGUGCAAGUGUGUGCGAUGAAAAUUAUCAACUCAUUACCACAUUUAUGGAAGUGUAUAGAAAUCAUGUUUAUGAUUGAUUAAUUGAUUACGAAUGUAACAUGUAUUAUUUUUGUAUUUGUUCAGCUACCAUGUGGCUAUGACAAUGUACUAACACCGUCCGUUAUUAACUAUACGUAUUAAUGGCUAUGAUGAUUCUAAUUUGGAUCAA
Molecule: non-coding RNA, 1899 nt
Organism: Arachis ipaensis
Lineage: Eukaryota; Viridiplantae; Streptophyta; Magnoliopsida; Fabales; Fabaceae
Source: RefSeq, a predicted model, not a curated record